This 378-nucleotide ribosomal RNA is filed under the name Triatoma pseudomaculata. RNAcentral's name for it is "eukaryotic LSU rRNA". It matches the Rfam family "Eukaryotic large subunit ribosomal RNA", at positions 422 to 712 of the family's 3401-position model. Lineage: Eukaryota; Metazoa; Arthropoda; Insecta; Hemiptera; Reduviidae. The record is from RNAcentral.
AGUAGGACGUUGCGACCUGUCAAAUAAUAUCCUAAGUAUUUGGCUAAUUUGUCUGUUUUUAGGCAGUACUGAAAGGUAUUUCCUUUAACAGUUUUAGCCGUUUAUAUACUGGAUAUAAUUGACAGUAACGAAUCAUGGUGUUGAGCCACUUACUUUGUAAGUGUCCUUUAUGGCUGUUUGCAAGUGGGUUGGUUAAUUAGUUUUAGUCGGAUUUUGGUCCGUCUAACUAUUCCGCCUACUGUUGGUAAACUGUUCCUUGGACAGUGCUUAUAACACCGGUCGGCAGCGAUUCAGGUUCAGGCUCUUAUCCGACCCGUCUUGAAACACGGACCAAGGAGUUUAGCGUGUACGCAAGUCAUUGGGUGUAUAAAACCCAAA